AAUGGGAAAGCCGAAAACCAAAGAGAGUAGGCA
This is a non-coding RNA of Flavobacterium reichenbachii, 33 nucleotides long. The record is from Rfam. Lineage: Bacteria; Pseudomonadati; Bacteroidota; Flavobacteriia; Flavobacteriales; Flavobacteriaceae.